This 1149-nucleotide ribosomal RNA is filed under the name uncultured organism. RNAcentral's name for it is "bacterial SSU rRNA". It matches the Rfam family "Bacterial small subunit ribosomal RNA", at positions 290 to 1434 of the family's 1533-position model. The record is from RNAcentral.
UUCUGAGAGGAAGAUCCCCCACACUGGUACUGAGACACGGACCAGACUCCUACGGGAGGCAGCAGUGAGGAAUAUUGGUCAAUGGGUGAGAGCCUGAACCAGCCAUGCCGCGUGAAGGAAGACUGCCCUAUGGGUUGUAAACUUCUUUUCUGCAGGAAGAAAUCACUCUACGUGUAGGGUGUUGCCGGUACUGCAGGAAUAAGCAUCGGCUAACUCCGUGCCAGCAGCCGCGGUAAUACGGAGGAUGCAAGCGUUAUCCGGAUUUAUUGGGUUUAAAGGGUGCGUAGGCGGGCUUGUAAGUCAGUGGUGAAAUGCUGUGGCUUAACCAUAGAAUUGCCAUUGAAACUGCAAGUCUUGAGUUUACAGUUGAGGUGGGCGGAAUGAGUAAUGUAGCGGUGAAAUGCAUAGAUAUUACUCAGAACUCCGAUUGCGUAGGCAGCUUGCUAAACUGUAACUGACGCUGAUGCACGAAAGCGUGGGGAGCGAACAGGAUUAGAUACCCUGGUAGUCCACGCUGUAAACGAUGAGCACUGGUUGUUGGCAAUACACCGUCAGCGACUGAGCGAAAGUAUUAAGUGCUCCACCUGGGGAGUACGUCGGCAACGACGAAACUCAAAGGAAUUGACGGGGGCCCGCACAAGCGGAGGAACAUGUGGUUUAAUUCGAUGAUACGCGAGGAACCUUACCUGGGCUUAAAUGUAGAGUGCAUUGCUUGGAAACAGGCACAUUCUUCGGAACUCUCUACAAGGUGCUGCAUGGUUGUCGUCAGCUCGUGCCGUGAGGUGUCGGGUUAAGUCCCAUAACGAGCGCAACCCCUACUGUUAGUUACCAGCACGUAAUGGUGGGGACUCUACGUCAAGACUGCCGGUGUAAACCGUGAGGAAGGUGGGGAUGACGUCAAAUCAGCUCGGCCCGGACGUCACAGGGCUACACACGUGUUACAAUGCCAAGUACAAAGAGCAGCCUCCUGGCCUGCACGAGCAGCUAAUCUCAAAAGCUUGCCUCAGUUCGGAUCGAAGUCUGCAACUCGACUUCGUGAAGGUGGAUUCGCUAGUAAUCGCGCAUCAGCCAUGGCGCGGUGAUACGUUCCCGGGCCUUGUACACACCGCCCGUCAAGCCAUGAAGCCGGGGGUACCUGAGUCCGUAACC